GCAUCAUGGUACAGGUGAGAGUUGAUUGCAACAGUCACAGGGAUCAAAAGGAACAACAGGAUAAAAUAGCAAAGCAUAAAUCAUAUGGACACACAGAACUGAACGAGCAAGGCUGUUCAUUCAGGUUCAGAGGCAAUCAACAACAUUACUAGUGAGGCGUGGCCCUCUCGCAUUUCCACCGAUUAACACAACUGGCUAAGACAACGACGCGCACAGAGAAGCCUAGGCCCUCUCGACACGGAUGCGGCGUGCGAGCUGCAGAACAAAGUCUUGGUACUGUGCAUAUUCACUGAAGGUUAAACUUUUUUUACUGAAAUCCCAGCUGCAGAAGAAAGAAAGCACCUACUGCUGGUAGCAAAACCAAUAUGUUUAUGAGGAAUAUAUGGAUGUUUCAAAUCAGAAGACCAAGUAGAAUAGAUAAAAUUAGUCAGGAAUCUGUUGUAGCAUGGCAAACCCCUUGUUUCUAAAUAACAUGUAUGCUAGUCUGUAGAGCUAGUUCACUGGGAUUAUUACUAUGGUUUGUAUGCUAGUUCACUUUCCAUGAAUUUCCCUCUAAUUCAGCUUAUCGACGGAUGAUUUUUUUAAGAGAAAACUAACUUUACAUAUACGUCACACAUAGAAAAGGUCAUAUGCCAUAAGGUUUUCUGUUAAUUAGUGUGCUAUCGCAAGAAAACUUAAAUGAGAAUGUAGAAAAAGUAAAAAAAAUCCUGCAAGUCAUAAUAUGGCUAGUCUAUACGUACUGGAACUGAACCACUUUGAAUAAUAAAAGCAUCAGCAGGCAAAGACCAGAAGAUCAGAAUCUAUUGUCUCCAAGGGCUUAGAUCUCAAAGAAUAUAUAAGAUGCGUAUGCAAAAUAUGGCAAAAGGGGAACAUACCAUGCAUGGAGUCGCUGUUAUGAAAUUUCAGUUAUCUCAUCAUCCCAUUACGUAUUGUCCUUGAUGACAAUAAGGUCCAAUUUUGUGUUCAAUUAAUAAAAUUGAUGGAAGAACAAAAGAUUACUACCUGCAAAUAUGUAACGCUGGACAGGGGAUUAGAGAUAAAUUACAUGAGCAAAAACAUAUCUAGAUCCCAACCACUUACUGUAGGUCAUGUAGUGUAUUCCAUGGGUUGAGAAAAAACAUACAUCUACACUUAUGAAUCACAUGUGAUGGAGAUGAUUGGUCGACUAUACACUACAUAGAUGCCCUAACAUCGACAGCAAGUCCUUCAGAAGAAACAGUCAAAUUAUUAGCCUGACGACUAACCUGAAACUGAAAGCAACCGGCCAGGAAUGAAACAAGAUCUUUUCCC
Molecule: ribosomal RNA, 1290 nt
Filed under: Triticum aestivum (bread wheat)
Lineage: Eukaryota; Viridiplantae; Streptophyta; Magnoliopsida; Poales; Poaceae
Description: partial small subunit ribosomal RNA
Source: RNAcentral